AAGUCCGACGGUACAGGGUGAUAGUCCCGUACACCAAAAUGCACAGGUUGUGAACUCGAAGAGUAGGGCGGGACACGUGGUAUCCUGUCUGAAUAUGGGGGGACCAUCCUCCAAGGCUAAAUACUCCUGACUGACCGAUAGUGAACCAGUACCGUGAGGGAAAGGCGAAAAGAACCCCGGCGAGGGGAGUGAAAAAGAACCUGAAACCGUGUACGUACAAGCAGUGGGAGCCUCUUUAUGGGGUGACUGCGUACCUUUUGUAUAAUGGGUCAGCGACUUAUAUUCUGUAGCAAGGUUAACCGUAUAGGGGAGCCGAAGGGAAACCGAGUCUUAACUGGGCGUUAAGUUGCAGGGUAUAGACCCGAAACCCGGUGAUCUAGCAUGGGCAGGUUGAAGGUUGGGUAACACUAACUGGAGG
Molecule: ribosomal RNA, 418 nt
Filed under: Enterococcus faecalis PF3
Lineage: Bacteria; Bacillati; Bacillota; Bacilli; Lactobacillales; Enterococcaceae
Description: bacterial LSU rRNA
Rfam family: Bacterial large subunit ribosomal RNA
Source: RNAcentral